Molecule: small nucleolar RNA, 107 nt
Organism: Capsicum annuum
Lineage: Eukaryota; Viridiplantae; Streptophyta; Magnoliopsida; Solanales; Solanaceae
Source: RefSeq, a predicted model, not a curated record
UAAUGAUGGUGAGGGCAAUUUUUGAGCAUACCCUUAAAUCUCUCCAAAGCUUGGAAGAGAUUAUUUCCAUCUUUCUAUUUAAAAUUCAAGAUUUCACUCCUCAAGCG